This 425-nucleotide unclassified non-coding RNA is filed under the name soil metagenome. RNAcentral's name for it is "partial contains 5.8S ribosomal RNA, internal transcribed spacer 2, and large subunit ribosomal RNA". The stretch from base 1 to 120 matches the Rfam family "5.8S ribosomal RNA", at positions 35 to 154 of the family's 154-position model. The record is from RNAcentral.
GAUGAAGAACGCAGCGAAAUGCGAUAAGUAGUGUGAAUUGCAGAAUUCCGUUAAUCAUCGAAUCUUUGAACGCACAUUGCGCCUUCUGGUAUUCCGGAAGGCAUGCCUGUUCGAGAGUCAUUAACAACCGUUUCGAUCCCUUUCUUUCAGAAAUUACAAAGAGGAAAAGGGUUUGGUUAUGGUGGAGGAGGGAAAGGGAGCGUUUAGCCUGUAAAAAAAGAGGCUGUGUUCCGCCUCCCCCCCAAAAUUGUACAGGCGGUCGUGUGCGCCCACGCAUCGAGGUGUUGUAAAAGCUGCCACGGCACUUUUCACCUGUGCAGUGCGAGAUUGGCCAGCCGGUUUAAAAACCCCUCCAAACAAUCAAAGGUUGACCUCGGAUCAGGUAGGGAUACCCGCUGAACUUAAGCAUAUCAAUAAGCGGAGGA